AUGAAAUGCAUGAUGUAGUAUUUUGGAUAAAAUAUCUUCUAUUUUCAUUUCUUUUGGCAGUAACGUUCCCAUGCCUGCACAGUGCAGGAAUACAGAAAGGAGAGACUGCCCAACUCAGUCAUCCACACUUGUCAAUCAUCCCUAGGCUGAAGCUUCUUUGGCUCCUUUUGACACGUACAAAAUCCUGUGGUACCACCUAGUGGCAGCUCUUCAGACAGCACUAAGACUACGGGUAUUUCAAGAAAGGAAAUAACCGGGAUUUGUUCUGAUGAGAGGCUUGAGCUAUGCUCAGAAUCAUCUGCACACCGAGAGAAAGCAACGUGCUUCAUGGACCUGUGGUUCUCCGUGUUAUAGAGUAUUUGAGAUGAACGCUGAGUGUGUUUCCAUGGAAACUGAACACCAGUGUUCCAGCCCAUUGGAAAAUCAGUUUACAUACGUAAGAAGACACUGUUGAACCUUCUUGAUCUGGAGUUGCUCAUGUACACAGAUAUUAGCUAACCUAGGGAGCAAGAAGACACUGAAACAAGGUUACCUAAGCUGAGUGGAGACAUCAGACUAGAGCAGUCAGUCCAGGUGACCUGGCUGGGUUAGUCCUUACUAAUGAGCCCUUCUGUUCGCUUCUGUUUUUUCCAGAGACCAGUAUUUAAACAACAGCACUGCUUCAAGCAGCUUUUAGUUUACUUCUCUCACAGCCACCUUCACCCUUUUUCCACAUCACUGCAGGAAAUGAAGAUUCUGUUUAGAUUUUGGGCUAUGGUGUAGGUCCAUCUUAGGGUAUUGAAAUUUAGGUACAAAUCUCUCUGACAGCUUUGACUGAUUUGAAAACACAGAGCAGGAAAUAGAAUUUCUCUUGUUUGAAAAUGGGAGUUAACAGGCUGCUUAGUGUGUGUGCAGGGAAGCUCUGGAUGUCUUCACAUUAAUGUGGCUUUGGAGCCACUUGCCACAUUCCAGCUCCAACUCAUGCCUGCUCCUGUUUCAUUUGCCAACAGCAAGCAUCAAUUUUGGUGAAAAAAAAAAAAAGAUUAAAAGCUGG
RNAcentral lists this long non-coding RNA (1033 nucleotides) under Numida meleagris (helmeted guineafowl). RNAcentral describes it as "lncRNA (ENSNMEG00000020567.1)". The record is from RNAcentral. Lineage: Eukaryota; Metazoa; Chordata; Aves; Galliformes; Numididae.